Molecule: small RNA, 69 nt
Filed under: Salix viminalis (osier)
Lineage: Eukaryota; Viridiplantae; Streptophyta; Magnoliopsida; Malpighiales; Salicaceae
Source: RNAcentral
AAAACCCAAAAAAAUCUCUCAAAUAAUCGACAACAAAAGCAUAAAAAGGGGAGGAUUUUCAUGCCUUUU